This 1477-nucleotide unclassified non-coding RNA is filed under the name Harpegnathos saltator (Jerdon's jumping ant). RNAcentral's name for it is "palmitoyltransferase ZDHHC23, transcript variant X1". The record is from RNAcentral. Lineage: Eukaryota; Metazoa; Arthropoda; Insecta; Hymenoptera; Formicidae.
GGUGCAUUCCAGGUCGAUGAAAUGGCAUCACGCGACAGUUGGAAACUCGGUAUUUCCGAGCAAACGAGUGACAUUUGCGACAGACGACGUUGCGAAAGCAGCGAAAUUUCAAAUGAUGGCAUCGCCAUUUCCUCCGACACGCGAUCCACGAUUGGCUACUUACGUCGCUCUCGAGGCCUCAAUAGGAUCUAACAGUAAAGACCACUAACCGCUGACAGCUCGCUUCGUUCCGUGGAACACUGAAACCGAUGUGUCCUCAUCAGCGCGCGCGUGACGUUCGGGUUCGGUGGUAUCGGUGGUAUCAGUAUGGCAUUCGGUGGCGCUUGAUUUUCGUUUACGAUUAUUAACUCAUUUUCGCACGGUUUAUGUUCCCUCGAGUGAUCUCCCAUCUUCAUGACGGCGGUUAGCGAAUCCCAUUGCGUAGUCGUCACCGGCGGCCUGGUAGGAGGGGGACGUUGACGAGGCACGGCAUCUAGGGCUGUUCUAACCUAAAGAGAGCACCGCGAGGAGCCGACGUUCUGUCACUUAUGACAGGUUGAGAGGUGUUCCUCGAGCGCGCUUUCGAUCGCCGAAGUAUGACUGUUUGGGAGAGGCUGCGCAACCCGUGCGGCUGGCGCGCCGGUGCCAAGCAAAUCUCCGUGGACGCGAUGUUACCGCUGGUAGUGGUGCCGGCAUUGGCGGUGAUCGCCGCCCAGACCGUCCUCUGCACGGUCGUUGUGUUCGCGGCGACGCCAGUCCUCGUUUACUACUUGCAUCACAAUUUUCUGCGAUUCUUGCUGCGCACCAAGUUCUUCCUCAUGUGGACCAUCACGAGCGUGCUGAUGCUGAUGCUCGUGUUCGAGAUCAGUGUAGUGCCGUUGCUGGAAAUCCUGCCCGAGGAGAAUCUGCUGUUCAUGGUGUGUGUGGUCGGUGGUAUCUGGUGCGGCUACCGAGCCAAGCUCAAUGCAGAUUACGCAGCGCAGGAAGGCAUCCUUGUACAGGGCCUGGAGCUGGGUGAGGGCAGUGGAGAGCUUUGCACCACGUGCAGGAGAAGGGCGCCACCCAGAGCCCACCAUUGCCGCUUGUGCCAGACAUGUAUACUUAACAGGGAAUAUCAUUGCAAAUGGCUGGACUGCUGCAUAGGUUCCAGCAACCUGAGGUGGUACUUGGGCUGUUUAUUCUUUUCUGCAAUCGCCUUCAUCUAUGGCUCCAACUUAACUAUGACUAGUGUCUGUCACCCGUUUAUACUCAUCGGGACUGUACUCCUGCCAGAUGACUGCAGCGAUGUGUAUCACCAGUUAGAAAAGCGCGAUUGGAUGUCACUGAUACAACACGAGCUUAGCAAAGCAAACUGGAAAGAUACAAGGGGAUCUAUAAUGUAGACUUUAAUAAUCGCAAGAUAACAGAGUAUUUGCUGGGUCUGCAAUUUAGCAUCCAUCGCUCUUUGCUUUGUCUCCGCACUCUACAGUCUCCUCGUCGGUCUAGUGGUCGUUUGCUA